CAACUGGAGAGUUUGAUCCUGGCUCAGAGCGAACGUUAGCGGCGGGCCUAACACAUGCAAGUCGGACGAGAAAAUCCUUCGGGGUGAGUAAAGUGGCGCACGGGUGAGGAACGCGUAGGUAAUCUACCCUCUGGCGGGGGACAACACUCCGAAAGGAAUGCUAAUACCGCGUAAGACCACACUCCCUACGGAGAGAGUGGUAAAAGGUGGCCUCUUCUUGAAAGCUACCACCAGAGGAUGAGCCUGCGUCCCAUCAGCUUGUUGGUAAGGUAACGGCUUACCAAGGCUAAGACGGGUAGCUGGUCUGAGAGGAUGAUCAGCCACACUGGCACUGGAACACGGGCCAGACUCCUACGGGAGGCAGCAGUGAGGAAUAUUGGGCAAUGGGCGCAAGCCUGACCCAGCCACGCCGCGUGAGUGAUGAAGGCCUUCGGGUCGUAAAGCUCUGUGGGGAGGGACGAAAAACCUCCAUUCGAAUAGGAUGGAGACUUGACGGUACCUCCUUAGCAAGCACCGGCUAACUCUGUGCCAGCAGCCGCGGUAAUACAGAGGGUGCGAACGUUGCUCGGAUUUACUGGGCGUAAAGCGCGUGUAGGCGGACUCGCAAGUCGGUUGUGAAAUCCCUGGGCUCAACCUAGGAACUGCAUCCGAAACUGCUUGUCUUGAGUAAUGGAGAGGGUGGCG
This 684-nucleotide ribosomal RNA is filed under the name Myxococcales bacterium. Its description in RNAcentral is "bacterial SSU rRNA". It matches the Rfam family "Bacterial small subunit ribosomal RNA", at positions 1 to 663 of the family's 1533-position model. The record is from RNAcentral. Lineage: Bacteria; Pseudomonadati; Myxococcota; Myxococcia; Myxococcales.